Molecule: ribosomal RNA, 614 nt
Filed under: uncultured bacterium
Lineage: Bacteria
Description: bacterial SSU rRNA
Rfam family: Bacterial small subunit ribosomal RNA (bases 1-521)
Source: RNAcentral
CCUACGGGAGGCAGCAGUGGGGAAUAUUGGGCAAUGGAGGAAACUCUGACCCAGCGACGCCGCGUGCGGGAUGAAGGCCUUCGGGUUGUAAACCGCUUUCAGCAGGGAAGAAGCGAAAGUGACGGUACCUGCAGAAGAAGCACCGGCUAACUAUGUGCCAGCAGCCGCGGUAAUACAUAGGGUGCAAGCGUUGUCCGGAAUUAUUGGGCGUAAAGAGCUCGUAGGUGGUUCGUCACGUCGGAUGUGAAAAUCUGGGGCUUAACCCCAGACCUGCAUUCGAUACGGGCGAGCUUGAGUAUGGUAGGGGAGUCUGGAAUUCCUGGUGUAGCGGUGGAAUGCGCAGAUAUCAGGAGGAACACCAAUGGCGAAGGCAGGACUCUGGGCCAUUACUGACACUGAGGAGCGAAAGCGUGGGGAGCGAACAGGAUUAGAUACCCUGGUAGUCCACGCCGUAAACGGUGGGCACUAGUUGUGGGGACCUUCCACGGUCUCUGCGACGCAGCUACGCAUAGUCGCCCGCCGUCGGGAGGUACGAGUCGCGAAGAAGUUAAACUAACAAAGUAGUAAGUUAGUACGGCGUGAGACGUGCCGACGGACGACGACGAGGGAGGAGG